UAGCUCUUCUCUCAUACUUCUCUUUUUUCCUUUCUCAAUCCUCCUACAGUCCCUUCAGUUGCUUCCAGAAUUGAGAUCCACAAAAAAAAAACCCAACCCAAAUGAAAUGGGGUGAGUUUUCAGAUGGGAUAACUCAUGGUGUCAUUGCUGACUUCAUUCCAGUCUAGUACUGAAGGCAAAUGAAAAAUACUGAAAAUUCAGCUGAAAAACUCUUGCAGUCUUCGAGCUUGACAAAGAUGAAACCAUAAUGAAGAUUACAAACUGCAGGAGAGCAUAAAACAUCCAUCUUAGAGCUUCUGUCAGCAGCAGAGAUGAUCCCAGAAGGCAAAACCUCCUCAUUACAGGCUCUGCCUCAGAAGUCUCAUUUACCUCAGAUAAAA
Molecule: long non-coding RNA, 380 nt
Organism: Haemorhous mexicanus (house finch)
Lineage: Eukaryota; Metazoa; Chordata; Aves; Passeriformes; Fringillidae
Exons: 3
Source: RefSeq, a predicted model, not a curated record